This 1522-nucleotide long non-coding RNA is filed under the name Anas platyrhynchos platyrhynchos (common mallard). RNAcentral describes it as "lncRNA (ENSAPLG00000030949.1)". Lineage: Eukaryota; Metazoa; Chordata; Aves; Anseriformes; Anatidae. The record is from RNAcentral.
GGUGCGGGGAUUGCGCGUUUACGUCCCCCGUUCACCUGUCAGAGUGCAGGUGCGGGGAUUAUCGUCCCUUUUACCUCUACCGCAAUUACUUCAGUGUCUCGCAAUUACUUCAAUGUCCUGCGCGGUUCCGUACCCCGCGUCUCUCACCGUGAGUCCCCGCGUCCCACCAUGUCCCGCGUCUCUCACCGGGAGUACCGCGUUUUCCGCGUCUCUCACAGGGAGUACCGCGUCUCACCGUGAGUCCUGUGUACAGCGUGUGCGGCUCGGUGUCUGGUCAGCUGCAGCGCCGGUCCGAUGUCCGCUCCGAAGUUCUGGCGGCGCUCCGAUGUCCCGCGCCGCUCCGAUGUCUCAGUCUCGGUGCUGUGAUGUCCCGGCGCCGCUGGUCCCGACGCCGCUGGUCUCCUGGUCUACCUGCGUUCGGAUGUGCCGGCGCCGCUGGUGUCCCGCUGCGCUGCGAUGUUUGCCCCGGCGCCGCUGCGAUGUCCGUGCUCAGCUGCGAUGUCUGUUCAGGCCCUGUUCAGGUCUCAGCCUGUUCGGGCGCCAUUUGUUGCGAAGCACGGCCGAAAGCACGACAGACACCAGCAGAGUCAGAUCAUGCUUCACCAUUUUAUUGCCCGAAUAGCCCAACUUUUAUAGUGAAUUUUACAGGGGUGGACAGUGUUUCACACAAGAUUAUUGGUCAAAAGCACCCAGACAAACUGUUAAGAAAAUAACAUCACCUUUUGAUUAGAAGUUAGGAAAACAACCCCUUUUGUGCUUAACGGUCACGUAGGCCUAGUCCUUGAGGCCAGCUGCUGAUAACAAUAUUUUCUGAGUUCCUUAAUUGGGUGAUGUGGGAGUCAUUGCCGUGGGAGCUUCUCACAGUUACUCUGGCAGCUUGGUUUGCUCAGCUACAGCAGGCCCUGAGAUUUCUAAGGCCUACCCCUGGUUGCUUAAAGCAAGCUUAGAUCAAACAAUUAUGCCAAUUCCCAACAAUUCCCCCGUUUUCUUUUUGUACAGGCAGUGCUUGGUUUUACAACAGGUGUCAAAUAUACAACAUAACACAACUAUAUAACUUAACCCUAAUAAUACCAUAAUUACUGUAAGCAUUUAAUGGUAACACAAUCUAAUAGUAAGUAACACAACUUAAUAGUAACACAUUUAAACCUAAUCACUUGAUGGUGAUCAAAGGCUGUUCUUGACAGUCCUUGAGGUGUCACAGCCCACGUCAUUGUCAGAAUGAUUAUCAGGAACCUCUUCAUGGUCGUCUUCAGCGUGUGCAGAUUCUAAAACUGCUUCAGUCCACUUUACAGUGAUCCACUGGAUACCUGUUCCCGGCACCACUUCAAAAUCCCACAUUUAUCACAAUACUACGUGUAAUGAUGAUUGACACCACAAUGAACAGAAUCCUUAAUGCCCCUUUGACUAAUCCCAGUAACCAUCUAUGUAUUGUUUCAAACAAAUCAGUGAACCAUUGAUUGAAAGGAUUGAUAUCAUAUUGAAUCUUUUUAAUAAAUCCAUUUUUCUAUGAUUUUUGCUGGCA